This 253-nucleotide ribosomal RNA is filed under the name uncultured bacterium. RNAcentral describes it as "partial 16S ribosomal RNA". It matches the Rfam family "Bacterial small subunit ribosomal RNA", at positions 524 to 776 of the family's 1533-position model. The record is from RNAcentral.
UACGUAGGGUGCGAGCGUUAAUCGGAAUUACUGGGCGUAAAGCGUGCGCAGGCGGUUUUGUAAGCCAGAUGUGAAAUCCCCGGGCUUAACCUGGGAAUGGCAUUUGGGACUGCAAGGCUGGAGUGUGGCAGAGGGGGAUGGAAUUCCGCGUGUAGCAGUGAAAUGCUUAGAUAUGACAUAGAACACCGAUUGCGAAGGCAGCUAACUACGGGAUGAUUGACACUGAUGCACGAAAGCGUGGGGAUCAAACAGG